Molecule: non-coding RNA, 412 nt
Organism: Esox lucius (northern pike)
Lineage: Eukaryota; Metazoa; Chordata; Actinopteri; Esociformes; Esocidae
Source: the annotation of a RefSeq genome assembly
GUCUUAGAGAGUAGAGAAGAGCAGCUCUGACCAGAUCAUCUUCAUCAUAAAUCAUGUUCUCUACAUCUCUUCUCAUGUUGCUGUUGGCAGCUGCCUCCUGUGUCCACUGUCAGGUCGUUCUCACACAGGCUGAACAGUCGGUCCAGGGGACCCCUGGGGGACCCUCAAACUGACAUGUGCCUGUAGUGGAUUCACCCUGAAAGACUGGAUAAUGCACUGGGUCCGCCAGGCUCCUGGACAGGGAUUACAAUGGAUCCUUCACUAUUAUACUAGCAGUGACAAUGGUUAUUCGCCUGCAGUACAGGGCCGUUUCACUGCAUCGAAGGACAGCACAAAUUUCUAUCUACACAUGAACCAGUUAAAGCCAGAGGACUCUGCAGUGUAUUACUGUGCUAGAGACUCACAGUGGUAA